AGUGAACGCUGGCGGUAGGCCUAACACAUGCAAGUCGAACGGCAGCACAGUAAGAGCUUGCUCUUACGGGUGGCGAGUGGCGGACGGGUGAGGAAUACAUCGGAAUCUACUUUUUCGUGGGGGAUAACGUAGGGAAACUUACGCUAAUACCGCAUACGACCUACGGGUGAAAGCAGGGGAUCUUCGGACCUUGCGCGAUUGAAUGAGCCGAUGUCGGAUUAGCUAGUUGGCGGGGUAAAGGCCAACCAAGGCGACGAUGCGUAGCUGGUCUGAGAGGAUGGUCCGGCAGAUUGGAAGUGAGAAACGGCACAGACACCUACGGGAGGAAGCAGUGGGGAAUAUUGGACAAUGGGCGCAAGCCUGAUCCAGCCAUACCGCGUGGGUGAAGAAGGCCUUAGGGUUGUAAAGCCCUUUUGUUGGGAAAGAAAAGCAGCAGGUUAAUACCCCGCUGUUCUGACGGUACCCAAAGAAUAAGCACCGGCUAACUUCGUG
RNAcentral lists this ribosomal RNA (492 nucleotides) under uncultured bacterium. RNAcentral describes it as "partial 16S ribosomal RNA". It matches the Rfam family "Bacterial small subunit ribosomal RNA", at positions 29 to 507 of the family's 1533-position model. The record is from RNAcentral.